This is a long non-coding RNA of Symphalangus syndactylus (siamang), 988 nucleotides long. RefSeq lists it as uncharacterized. The record is from RefSeq and is a predicted model, not a curated record. Lineage: Eukaryota; Metazoa; Chordata; Mammalia; Primates; Hylobatidae.
AAAACACUUGUGCUCUUCCCGACCCACAAUCCAUCAGGAGGGGUACGCUGGCUGCCUGGUAACCACGAGAUCAUUUCCUGAAUUCGCAGGACCUCUUUAACACUAUCCAAACAUUAGAAAGUGCAAGGACUUCCCACAUCCUCUGGCUUCACUGUCUGCAGUCCACAGGAGCUGCAGUUGCUAAACCCACUGGGUGGAUGAGCCAUUGUCACUAGAGCUUCGCGAUCGCAACAGCGCUUCCAUCGUUCUUUUAGCAUCUCAAGGUCUCACACUAAAUGAUAUUAAACUGUGAAACUUUACAUCAACGUAAAGUGUUGAUAAUACUAACUACCAGUUCCGGAGAAGCUCGGGCUCCAGGUGAGGUAAGAGUUGGGCAGGACCUGGUUGUGCCAGGCACGGGUCACAAGGACCCCGCUGAUAAAACGGGUAAGUGCGGUGAAGAAGCCGAUCAAAACCCACCAAAACCAAGAUGGCAAUGAAAGCGACUUCUGAUGACCCUCACUGCUCGUUAGAUGCGAAUUAUCAUGCAUUAGCAGCUAAAAGUCACUCCCACCAGUGCCGUGACAGUUUAUAAAUGCCAUGGCAACGUGGGGAAGUUACUAUAUGGACUGAAAGUGGGAAGUGGGAAGAACCCUUGGUUCCAGGAAUUCCCCACCCUUCUCACACCCCCCCACCCAAAAUCACGAAUAAUCCACCCCAUUUAGCAUAUGAUCAAGAAAUAACCAUAAAAAUAGCAAACCAGCAACCCUCAGUGCUGCUCUGCCUAUGGAGUAGCCAUUCUUUUAUUCCUUUACUUUCUUAAUAAACUUGCUUUCACUUUACUGUGUCGGCUGGCUCUAGAAUUCCUUCCUGCGUGAAGCCAAGACCCCAUGUGGCCUCCCAGGCUGAGCCUGUGUUGAAGUUCACCCUGUGACACAGGCAAUGUGCAUUGCUGUGUGUGCACUAACCCUAUGAGACAGAGAGCAGGGCACUUGUUUUACAGAUGAAG